CAAUUAACUGACAAUUAACUGCUCGGUCAGAGAGAGGCGCCGGUCGGAGUAAAGAUGUUCAGUCUGUCGGUUAGUUGGCGCUUGGUUGAUGAGGGAACACGCUGCACGCAGCACAGCAGGACCAGCAUGCAUCUUCCGGAGCAGCAGCCCAUCUUCCUCCUCUCCGAUCAGAAGAAUAGCGGAUUUCCAAUUCUCCUCAGGCACAAGCGCCGAGCUUUCUGAAUGGACACUGGAUUCCAGACCUUCAAAAGACCUCUCUGUUUGUUUCUGAGCGCGGCAUGGAUCGGCCCUCAUACAGCAACACCGUCCGCUGCCUUCUGAUAGGUGGCUCCUCAUCCUCAGUGCUCUGAAGACUCCAGCAGGUGGGGACAGUGGUGGAGCUGAAGGCUUCAAAGGUGUUAAAAAACCAAACUAGGUCAAAAGAAACACACCUGCAGGUCACAAACAAACUGUGGGUUUUUACGCAGGAUUUGAGUUUCAGUGUGCAGGAGUCAAAGACGUCAAAC
Molecule: long non-coding RNA, 506 nt
Organism: Poeciliopsis prolifica (blackstripe livebearer)
Lineage: Eukaryota; Metazoa; Chordata; Actinopteri; Cyprinodontiformes; Poeciliidae
Exons: 3
Source: RefSeq, a predicted model, not a curated record